This 138-nucleotide unclassified non-coding RNA is filed under the name soil metagenome. RNAcentral describes it as "partial internal transcribed spacer 1". The record is from RNAcentral.
CCUAGAGUUGUAGGCCUUGCCUGCUAUCUCUUACCCAUGUCUUUUGAGUACCUUCGUUUCCUCGGCGGGUCCGCCCGCCGAUUGGACAAUUUAAACCAUUUGCAGUUGCAAUCAGCGUCUGAAAAAACUUAAUAGUUA